CCGCCUGGGGAGUACGGGUGAGGUAACGGCUCACCAAGGCGACGACGGGUAACCGGCCUGAGAGGGUGACCGGUCACACUGGGACUGAGACACGGCCCAGACUCCUACGGGAGGCAGCAGUGGGGAAUAUUGCACAAUGGGCGCAAGCCUGAUGCAGCAACGCCGCGUGAGGGAUGACGGCCUUCGGGUUGUAAACCUCUUUUAGCAGGGAAGAAGCGAAAGUGACGGUACCUGCAGAAAAAGCACCGGCUAACUACGUGCCAGCAGCCGCGGUAAUACGUAGGGUGCAAGCGUUGUCCGGAAUUAUUGGGCGUAAAGAGCUCGUAGGCGGUUUGUCACGUCUGCUGUGAAAAUCCAAGGCUCAACCUUGGACUUGCAGUGGGUACGGGCAGGCUAGAGUGCGGUAGGGGAGAUGGGAAUUCCUGGUGUAGCGGUGGAAUGCGCAGAUAUCAGGAGGAACACCAAUGGCGAAGGCACAUCUCUGGGCCGUAACUGACGCUGAGGAGCGAAAGCGUGGGGAGCGAACAGGAUUAGAUACCCUGGUAGUCCACGCCGUAAACGGUGGGUGCUAGCUGUGGGCCACAUUCCACGUGGUCCGUGACGAAGUUAACACAUUAAGCACCCCGCCUGGGGAGUACGG
Molecule: ribosomal RNA, 640 nt
Filed under: uncultured Actinomycetes bacterium
Lineage: Bacteria; Bacillati; Actinomycetota; Actinomycetes
Description: bacterial SSU rRNA
Rfam family: Bacterial small subunit ribosomal RNA
Source: RNAcentral